GACGAACGCUGGCGGCGUGCUUAACACAUGCAAGUCGAACGGAAAGGCCCUGCUUUUGUGGGGUGCUCGAGUGGCGAACGGGUGAGUAACACGUUAGUAACCUGCCCUUGACUUUGGGAUAACUUCAGGAAACUGGGGCUAAUACCGGAUAGGAGCUCCUGCUGCAUGGUGGGGGUUGGAAAGUUUCGGCGGUUGGGGAUGGACUCGCGGCUUAUCAGCUUGUUGGUGGGGUAGUGGCUUACCAAGGCUUUGACGGGUAGCCGGCCUGGGAGGGUGACCGGCCACAUUGGGACUGAGAUACGGCCCAGACGCCUACGGGAGGCAGCAGUGGGGAAGAUUGCACAAUGGGCGGAAGCCUGAUGCAGCAACGCCGCGUGCGGAAUGACGGCCUUCGGGUUGUAAACCGCUUUCGCCUGUGACGAAGCGUGAGAGACGGUAAUGGAUAAAGAAGCACCGGCUAACUACGUG
This 468-nucleotide ribosomal RNA is filed under the name uncultured bacterium. RNAcentral describes it as "partial 16S ribosomal RNA". It matches the Rfam family "Bacterial small subunit ribosomal RNA", at positions 28 to 507 of the family's 1533-position model. The record is from RNAcentral.